UACUGAGAAUGAGCUAAACGUUGAGG
RNAcentral lists this non-coding RNA (26 nucleotides) under Homo sapiens (human). Lineage: Eukaryota; Metazoa; Chordata; Mammalia; Primates; Hominidae. The record is from RNAcentral.